GACGAACGCUGGCGGCGUGCUUAACACAUGCAAGUCGUACGGUAAGGUCCUUUCGGUGGUACACGAGUGGCGAACGGGUGAGUAACACGUGAGUAACCUUCCCACAACUUUGGGAUAACGCUAGGAAACUGGUGCUAAUACUGGUUAUGUGCUCCUUCUGCAUGGUGGGGGUUGGAAAGCUCCGGCGGUUGUGGGUGGACUCGCUGCCUAUCAGCUUGUUGGUGGGGUAGUGGCGUACCAAGACGGCGACGGGUAGCCGGCCUGAGAGGGUGACCGGCCACACUGGGACCGAGAGACGGCACAGACUGCUAAGGGAGGCAGCAGUGGGGAAUAUUGCACAAGGGGCGCAAGCCGGAUGAAGCAACGCUGCGGGCGGGAUGACGGCCUUCGUGUUGUAAACCGCUUUUAGCAGGGACGAAGCUUUUUGUGACGGUACCUGCAGAAGAAGCACCGGCUAACUACGUG
Molecule: ribosomal RNA, 465 nt
Filed under: uncultured bacterium
Lineage: Bacteria
Description: partial 16S ribosomal RNA
Rfam family: Bacterial small subunit ribosomal RNA
Source: RNAcentral